This 194-nucleotide ribosomal RNA is filed under the name uncultured bacterium. Its description in RNAcentral is "partial 16S ribosomal RNA". It matches the Rfam family "Bacterial small subunit ribosomal RNA", at positions 338 to 524 of the family's 1533-position model. The record is from RNAcentral.
CCUACGGGAGGCAGCAGUGGGGAAUUUUGGACAAUGGGCGCAAGCCCGAUCCAGCAACGCCGCGUGCGGGAAGAAGGCCUUCGGGUUGUAAACCGCUUUUGGCAGGAACGAAACGGUGUCCGCUAAUACCGGGCGCUAAUGACGGUACCUGCAGAAUAAGCACCGGCUAACUACGUGCCAGCAGCCGCGGUAAU